GAUGAACGCUGGCGGCGUGCUUAACACAUGCAAGUCGAACGGGGAACAAAUUAUUGAAGCUUCGGCAGAUCUAGCUUGUUCCUAGUGGCGGACGGGUGAGUAACGCGUGGGUAACCUGCCUCGCACUGGGGGAUAACAGUCAGAAAUGGCUGCUAAUACCGCAUAAGCGCACAGUACCGCAUGGUACAGUGUGAAAAACUCCGGUGGUGUGAGAUGGACCCGCGUUGGAUUAGCUAGUUGGCAGGGCAGCGGCCUACCAAGGCGACGAUCCAUAGCCGGCCUGAGAGGGUGAACGGCCACAUUGGGACUGAGACACGGCCCAGACUCCUACGGGAGGCAGCAGUGGGGAAUAUUGCACAAUGGGGGAAACCCUGAUGCAGCGACGCCGCGUGAAGGAAGAAGUAUCUCGGUAKGUAAACUUCUAUCAGCAGGGAAGAAA
RNAcentral lists this ribosomal RNA (439 nucleotides) under uncultured bacterium. Its description in RNAcentral is "bacterial SSU rRNA". It matches the Rfam family "Bacterial small subunit ribosomal RNA", at positions 28 to 450 of the family's 1533-position model. The record is from RNAcentral.